CAGCCGCGGUAACACGGAGGGGGCUAGCGUUGUUCGGAAUUACUGGGCGUAAAGCGCACGUAGGCGGCUUGGUAAGUUAGAGGUGAAAGCCUGGAGCUCAACUCCAGAAUUGCCUUUAAGACUGCCGAGCUAGCAGGUGAGAGAGGUAAGUGGAAUUCCGAGUGUAGAGGUGAAAUUCGCAGAUAUUCGGAAGAACACCAGUGGCGAAGGCGGCUUACUGGCUCAUACUGGACGCUGAGGUGCGAAAGCGUGGGGAGCAAACAGGAUUAGAUACCCCCGUAGUCCCUGUCUCUUAUACACA
Molecule: ribosomal RNA, 301 nt
Filed under: uncultured bacterium
Lineage: Bacteria
Description: partial 16S ribosomal RNA
Rfam family: Bacterial small subunit ribosomal RNA
Source: RNAcentral